AACGUAGGAGACAAACGUUAUCCGGAGUUACUGGGCGUAAAGGGCGUGUAGGCGGUUUGUUAAGUCUGGCGUGAAAGCUCUCGGCUAAACCGGGAGAGGUCGUUGGAUACUGGCAAACUAGAGGACGGUAGAGGCGUGUGGAAUUCCGGGUGUAGUGGUGAAAUGCGUAGAGAUCCGGAGGAACACCGGUGGCGAAGGCGGGUCUCUGGGCCGAUACUGACGCUGAGGAGCGAAAGCGUGGGGAGCGAACAGG
RNAcentral lists this ribosomal RNA (253 nucleotides) under uncultured bacterium. Its description in RNAcentral is "partial 16S ribosomal RNA". It matches the Rfam family "Bacterial small subunit ribosomal RNA", at positions 524 to 776 of the family's 1533-position model. The record is from RNAcentral.